CUUGCUGCCAUUUCGGUUGGAACUGCAAGUCGAGGGGGUUUAGGCAAGCUUGUGAUCCGUGGAAAUAAUCAUGUCAGCAAGAUUACAGACCUUGGACUCAAGGCAAUUGCUCGUGGGUGCCCAUCUCUAAGGGCUCUUUCUUUGUGGAAUCUGUCUUCCAUUGGAGAUGAAGGUCUUUGUGAGAUUGCCAAGGGGUCUCAACAGUUGGAGAAGCUUGAUCUCUGUCGAUGUCCUGCUGUAUCUGACAAGGCUGUGGUUGAGAUAGCAAGGAGCUGCCCAAAGUUGACUGAUAUUACAAUAGAAUCUUGUGCGAAAAUUGGAAAUGAAAGUCUGCGAGCUAUUGGCCAGUUCUGCCCCCAGCUGAAGUCUAUUGCGAUUAAAGAUUGCCCACGUGUUGGAGAUCAAGGAAUUGCAAGUUUGUUGUCUUUGAACACUUGUGCCUUGAAUAAGGUGAAGCUUCAAGCUUUGAAUGUUUCCGAUGUGUCCCUUGCUGUUAUUGGGCACUAUGGCAAG
RNAcentral lists this unclassified non-coding RNA (513 nucleotides) under Hevea brasiliensis (rubber tree). Lineage: Eukaryota; Viridiplantae; Streptophyta; Magnoliopsida; Malpighiales; Euphorbiaceae. The record is from RNAcentral.